UGGGGAAUAUUGGGCAAUGGGCGCAAGCCUGACCCAGCGACGCCGCGUGAGUGAAGACGGUCUUCGGAUUGUAAAACUCUGUUGACAGGGACGAUAAUGACGGUACCUGUCGAGGAAGUCACGACUAACUACGUGCCAGCAGUCGCGGUAAUACGUAGGUGACAAGCGUUAUCCGGAUUUAUUGGGUGUAAAGGGUGUGUAGGCGGGUAGGCAAGUCAGAUGUGAAAACUAUGGGCUCAACUCAUAGCCUGCAUUUGAAACUGUCUAUCUUGAGGGUCGGAGAGGUAAUUGGAAUUCCUGGUGUAGCGGUGAAAUGCGUAGAUAUCAGGAGGAACACCGGUGGCGAAGGCGGAUUACUGGACGACAACUGACGCUGAGACACGAAAGCGUGGGGAGCAAACAGG
This 404-nucleotide ribosomal RNA is filed under the name uncultured prokaryote. RNAcentral describes it as "bacterial SSU rRNA". It matches the Rfam family "Bacterial small subunit ribosomal RNA", at positions 355 to 776 of the family's 1533-position model. RNAcentral also lists the same sequence under 1 other name. The record is from RNAcentral.